This 494-nucleotide ribosomal RNA is filed under the name uncultured bacterium. Its description in RNAcentral is "partial 16S ribosomal RNA". It matches the Rfam family "Bacterial small subunit ribosomal RNA", at positions 28 to 507 of the family's 1533-position model. The record is from RNAcentral.
GACGAACGCUGGCGGCGCGCUUAACACAUGCAAGUCGAACGGAAAGGCCUGCUUUCCCUUGUGGAUUGCGGGUACUCGAGUGGCGAACGGGUGAGUAACACGUGAGUGAUCUGCCCCCAACUUGGGUAUAAGCCUGGGAAACUGGGUCUAAUUCCCGAUAGGACUGCAGGGUGGUGCCUGUGGUGGAAAACGAUUUUCUAGUGGUUGGGGAUGAGCUCGCGGCCUAUCAGCUUGUUGGUGGGGUAAUGGCCUACCAAGGCGGCGACGGGUAGCCGGCCUGAGAGGGUGGACGGCGACAGUGGGACUGAGAUACGGCACAGACACCUACGGGCGGCAGCAGUGGGGAAGAUUGGAAGAUGGGCGGAAGCCUGAUGCAGCGACGCCGCGUGGGGGAUGACGGGCUUCGGGUUGUAAACUCCUUUCGACCGCGAGGAAGCCACCUGGUUGGAAGGGUGGUGACGGUAGUGGUAGAAGAAGCACCGGCUAACUACGUG